This is a long non-coding RNA of Canis lupus familiaris (dog), 3777 nucleotides long. RefSeq lists it as uncharacterized. The transcript has 3 exons. The record is from RefSeq and is a predicted model, not a curated record. NCBI's taxonomy places the organism in Eukaryota, Metazoa, Chordata, Mammalia, Carnivora, Canidae.
AGGCGGGGAAAGCGCACAAUAGCUCUUGACACGCAAAUGGGUUAACACAAUAAAGGCGGCUCCGGCCUCUGCUGGGGGAGAGCAGCCAUCCCCGGCCCGCGGGAGGUAAUAAAGCGGCCCUUUUGUGCGCGCCUCCUCGUUCUCACCCCCGCCCCGAGCCCGGAGGAAUCGCCGCCUGAUUGAAUUACGGUUCAUGAAUAUGAGCUGCUCCGCUUGCUUCCUCCGGGCCCUUGCCAACCUUCAGGCUGGGUCAGGAACCACAUCUACCAAGGUUGGCACUGACUCAUCCACAUCCUUGACUUCCCUACCAGCUGAAUGCCCACCAGGAGGGUCCCUUCAGUAGAUGGUCAGCUCUGGGGCCGGGAGGACUCUUGGUCAUCAUCCUCAGUGCUAUAUCGCCAGCAUCCUGUGUGAUCACUUGCACACAUUAGGUUCUAUGUCGAUCUAUGUGGAUGGAAUUGGAGAAGGUUCAAGAUGCCCGGAGAGUUCAAGAUGCCGGAUAUCAGCCAGAAGGUGAUGGGGUCCCUUCCACCUGGGAGAACCCAAGAGAAUCUAGGAUUCGUUAAAUCCCCUUGUUUCACCCCUUGGGAUUAGGAGGCCCAGAGAGGGGAAGGCACUUGCUCCAAGUCACCCAGUAAGUUUGGGCCAGAGGUGGGACUUGAGCCCAGAGCCCUCUGAGGGCACACAGUUUCACUUGAGUCUCAUCUCACACACCAGCUCUGUGUUGAGGAUUCUGAGGCCUCACCCGGGUUCAGAAGGGAACAAGCGCUGUGCUACCAUCAAUUAGUGAUAUUUGCUGAGUCUGGGGUUAGCCGUCGGGAGAGCUAGUAGCCCACAGGCUAUUCUGUGGGCAAAGUUUGAAAGAGCACUGGACUGGGAGCCCAGGGUUUCAUUCCUUCAAUCAGCACCACUGUCUUGUCAUGUGACCCCUAAGCCAGGCAGCUUCCCAGAGCCUCAGUUUCCUCAACCAAAAGUUGUGACUACUUACUGGGGUGCUGCCUAUUUCAAGGAAGGACUAUAAUGAGAAAACGAGGACAACUAUGUCCAAAAGCACCUAAUGGGUUCUACAAACAUAGCCAAUGAUUAUUAGCGUAAAAUAAAGUGGCAGCAGUGAUAGGAAUAUGCAUCUAGCGAGGCCCCACUACAGACCAGGCACCACUCCAGGUGCUUUGCAUACAUGAUCUGCAAACCUUGCAGCAAGCCCAUGAAGGGGAAACACAGGCCUGGGUUAUAGAUGUGGACUCUCUACAGGCUGGCAUCAGUGGCCUUGCUCCAGGUGGCACUGAGCUCCUGGGUGUGCCGCACGAGGAUCUGAACCCUGAUGUGUCUCUGCCAUAGGUUUCUGACUCAGGGAAAUGGGGGCUGGAUGUGGGAGUGGUCCCCAGGACCCCUGCAAGGUUGAUCUCUGCUCCUCUGGCCUGGCUGGGCCUGGUUCUCCCAGGCUCUGAGUGGCAGGCAGAUUUCCAGGGGAUUAAACGCAGCCUGCCCGGCCUCCCCCACCCCCCACCCCGCCCCAGCCUGGAAAGGCCAGCAGGGCCUCCCAAGCCUGCCUGGCAGAUCUCCUUUUGUACAAAAAGUUAUUGACUUAUCAAGGUUAAAAUACAUUCAGCGCCGGCCAAUAAAACAAGGAUACCGCCGCAUCCCGGCUGUCAUGCGCGGCCUGGUUUUCAUGGCAACAGGCUCUCUCUGCACAUGAAACGGUUCAGUUGUGCAAAGUUCAGGCGUUACAUAAACAGGGAGUUAACAACAGCAGCAGAAAUCAAUGUCUAGCCAGGCAUGGCCUGGGGAGAUAGCAUUGAUUGGGCCGUAUGCUGUCGAUAGGCCAGGUCCCUGCUUCCUGCCCAGUUGCCUUGGGCUCCCUCCCGCGGCCCCAACCCCUGGCUCAGACCCAGAAAGCUCCAGAAAGGUGCCUCCACCCUGGCCCCGGAGCCCCUUUCUGGCUGGGAUCCAGCGGGGAGGGGAUCUGCUAAACUGUCUGCAGCUGUUUUGUAAACCAUUAUAUGGCUCAAAGAUGCCUUAAAAUAAGUUCACCCCAUUAUUAAUAGAAAAGGCAUCCUCUUGCCUUUUGAGCCAUCCUCGUGACAAAGGAAGAUCUCACUGCUUCUGUGUUUAGCCAUAAAAACCACCCAUAUUGCAAGAUGUGCCCCAAUCAGGUCAAAUAGAUCAGGAUAUGAAACCAAACUGGCCAUGCGACCUUGGGUAAGUCACUUCACCUCUCUGAGCCUUGGCUUCCUGUUUUCUAAAAUGCCAAGAGUGACAUCACCAACCUCAUGGAGGUAAGAAGGAAGAAAUGAGGGGACACAUGUAAAGCACCUCGCUUAGGGCCUGUGUCAGGAAGCUAAUCCUCUGUGUCUCUCUCCUACUCUAGAUUCCAGCACACACCUAGAUGGGGCAAAAAGAAACGGGAAACUAGGAAGUGAUAUUUGGGCUCAAAUCCCAGUUCCUCUGUUAGCUGUGUGACCUUAGCCAAGUCACUUUACCACUCUGAGACUUGGCAUUCAUUCCCUUAUAUAGUAUGGGGAAAAAAUGUCUUUGCAAGAGAGAAGAACAAAAUGAGCUCAAUGUUCUGGGCAUGCAGAAAGUGACCAGUAGAGAGUUAUCAAAUCAGAUCUUUCUUUCAGUCUUUCUUUCUUGCUUGCUUUCUUUCUUCCUUCUUUCUUUUCUAAGAUUUUAUUUAUUUGAGAGAGAGAGAGAGAGAGAGAGAGAAGCAGACUCCCCGCUGAGCAGGGAACCUGAUGCAGGGCUCCACCCCAGGACCCUGAGAUCGUGACCUGAGCUGAAGGCAGACGCUUCAGACACUUUACCGACUGUGCCACCCAGGUGCCCCCCUCCAGUGUUCCAGUGUCAAAUCUACUCACCCUCGAAGAAUGGAAGCUCUCAUGGGAUUUCUCUCAAGAAAGGGAGGGCUCCGGAGAAAAGAGUUAUUUGUUCCAUUUACCGGAAGGUUCUUAAGGACAGGGGCCUAAUCUUGUUCAUCUUUGUGUGGUAAUGCUUGGUACAGAGGCCAGGUCUACAGUAAGACCUCCGUGCGUGUUUGUUGAACAAAGUUAAAUACCUCUGGAGAGCUGACCAGGCCUUCUUUAUCUGGCAUGAUAGCAUGGAGACAGGGCGAUGGCUAGGAUGAUUUAGGAUAGGUUUGGGGGUGCUUCUAGACAUACUGGGUAUGGCACAGACAGCCAACUCACUGCUGAAAUUCAUAUCUCCUUCCAUGGGAUGAAAUGGAUGCUGGGAAGCAGAGCCCAGUGGGAAUAAGUAGCUCGAGGCCACAUUUCCAGGCAUGGCUGAACGAGUAGCUUUUGCCACUGAAAUGUGAGCAAGCAUAGUGUAAGAAGUGAUUAUGCCUCUUGUACACAAGUUUUCUCUUUUGCCCCAAGGCAGACAAUUGACCUUCCUAGAGCAGAGCAGGGCCAAAAGAUGGAUGGAGCCUGGGCCCCUAAAUCACUUGCGGAGGAAAGUUGCCCACCUGUUGACCAACAACAAAGGCUUUGAACUGUUAUAUGAGAAAUGAACAUCUGUUGAGUUGCACCAUUAAGAUGCCAGGGUCUGUUUGUUAUAGCAGUUGUGUUGCUGUUACAAAUUCACAGUGCUUCCUAGAAAGGACUCAGAACACUGCUCCUCUCUCCCCGAGGCCCCCAAACACACACAGACACACACACACACACACACACACCCGGGCACAGUCCUCUCCAAGUCAUGAAAUUUUACAGAGCUGAGAGGGGAUCCUUGUUUUUUUUUUUUUUGUUUGUUUGUUUUUUUAAGAUUCUAUUUAUUUAUUCA